CCGGGGUGAGUAAUGUCUGGGAAACUGCCUGAUGGAGGGGGGUAACUACUGGAAACGGUAGCUAAUACCGCAUAAUGUCGCAAGACCAAAGAGGGGGACCUUCGGGCCUCUUGCCAUCGGAUGUGCCCAGAUGGGAUUAGCUAGUAGGUGGGGUAACGGCUCACCUAGGCGACGAUCCCUAGCUGGUCUGAGAGGAUGACCAGCCACACUGGAACUGAGACACGGUCCAG
RNAcentral lists this ribosomal RNA (230 nucleotides) under uncultured bacterium. RNAcentral's name for it is "partial 16S ribosomal RNA". It matches the Rfam family "Bacterial small subunit ribosomal RNA", at positions 104 to 334 of the family's 1533-position model. The record is from RNAcentral.